Molecule: ribosomal RNA, 515 nt
Filed under: Pseudomonas sp.
Lineage: Bacteria; Pseudomonadati; Pseudomonadota; Gammaproteobacteria; Pseudomonadales; Pseudomonadaceae
Description: bacterial SSU rRNA
Rfam family: Bacterial small subunit ribosomal RNA
Source: RNAcentral
AGCGGAUGAGAGGAGCUUGCUCCUUGAUUUAGCGGCGGACGGGUGAGUAAUGCCUAGGAAUCUGCCUGGUAGUGGGGGAUAACGUUCCGAAAGGAACGCUAAUACCGCAUACGUCCUACGGGAGAAAGCAGGGGACCUUCGGGCCUUGCGCUAUCAGAUGAGCCUAGGUCGGAUUAGCUAGUUGGUGAGGUAAUGGCUCACCAAGGCGACGAUCCGUAACUGGUCUGAGAGGAUGAUCAGUCACACUGGAACUGAGACACGGUCCAGACUCCUACGGGAGGCAGCAGUGGGGAAUAUUGGACAAUGGGCGAAAGCCUGAUCCAGCCAUGCCGCGUGUGUGAAGAAGGUCUUCGGAUUGUAAAGCACUUUAAGUUGGGAGGAAGGGCAUUAACCUAAUACGUUAGUGUUUUGACGUUACCGACAGAAUAAGCACCGGCUAACUUCGUGCCAGCAGCCGCGGUAAUACGAAGGGUGCAAGCGUUAAUCGGAAUUACUGGGCGUAAAGCGCGCGUAUG